Ictidomys tridecemlineatus (thirteen-lined ground squirrel) is the source of this 649-nucleotide non-coding RNA. The record is from RefSeq and is a predicted model, not a curated record. Lineage: Eukaryota; Metazoa; Chordata; Mammalia; Rodentia; Sciuridae.
CCCGGGCACAGCCCUGACUGGCCUUUCUCUCUGUUUCUGAGCAGUGUACCGUGUCCACAGCGUCCUACAGGGCUUCAUCCCCCUCUUCCAGAAGUUAAUAGGGUUCAAGAAGACCCACUGAGGCCACGGGGACAGAGCCACGUUCUGGGAGACCACAGGAGGCCAUCCCAAAGCAAUCCAGAGAGCUCUUUUCCUUCCAUGUGGGCUGGACCUUGGCAGGAGCCCAGGCCGGGGCAUCAUUUGGGCAGCCCCAGAAUCCCAUCCAGCUGCCAGGGUGCAGGGCAGAGGGAGGGCGCGGGCCUGAGCCCUUCCCAGGCACCCGGAUCAGCAGGAAGCUUCUGGAAUGCGAUGGUUCUGGGCAGAGAGCCCAAGAGCCCAGGGAACCCUCCAGGUGGCGCUCUGUCUGGGCUUCUGGUUUCUUCCAAAAUCUCAGACCAGGCUGGUGCGCUCUGAGGUCCAAAGAGCCACUCUGGGGCAGAGCUCACUACCCAGAGCCAUGGAGCCACCAGGCUGGGUCCCCCCCACCCCCCAGUGAACCUGAUGCAGGUAAGAAGAAGGGGACCAACACCACAGCCCCUGGGAAUCUUCCCUCAGCCCUGCUGUCCCCAAAGCCAUCAAUUCAAAUAAACACCUCCUCCCUGAACUGAAA